RNAcentral lists this ribosomal RNA (253 nucleotides) under uncultured bacterium. RNAcentral's name for it is "partial 16S ribosomal RNA". It matches the Rfam family "Bacterial small subunit ribosomal RNA", at positions 524 to 776 of the family's 1533-position model. The record is from RNAcentral.
UACGGAGGGGGCUAGCGUUGUUCGGAAUUACUGGGCGUAAAGCGCACGUAGGCGGCUUUGCAAGUUAGAGGUGAAAGCCCGGGGCUCAACUCCGGAAUUGCCUUUAAAACUGCAUCGCUAGAAUUGUGGAGAGGUAAGUGGAAUUCCAGGUGUAGCGGUGAAAUGCGUAGAUAUCUGGAGGAACACCGGUGGCGAAGGCGGCAUCCUGGACCGGUAUUGACGCUGAGGCGCGAAAGCCAGGGGAGCAAACGGG